Molecule: ribosomal RNA, 497 nt
Filed under: uncultured bacterium
Lineage: Bacteria
Description: partial 16S ribosomal RNA
Rfam family: Bacterial small subunit ribosomal RNA
Source: RNAcentral
GAUGAACGCUGGCGGCGUGCCUAAUACAUGCAAGUCGAGCGAACAGAUAAGGAGCUUGCUCCUUUGACGUUAGCGGCGGACGGGUGAGUAACACGUGGGUAACCUACCUAUAAGACUGGAAUAACUCCGGGAAACCGGGGCUAAUGCCGGAUAACAUUUAGAACCGCAUGGUUCUAAAGUGAAAGAUGGUUUUGCUAUCACUUAUAGAUGGACCCGCGCCGUAUUAGCUAGUUGGUAAGGUAACGGCUUACCAAGGCAACGAUACGUAGCCGACCUGAGAGGGUGAUCGGCGACACUGGAACUGAGACACGGUCCAGACUCCUACGGGAGGCAGCAGUAGGGAAUCUUCCGCAAUGGGCGAAAGCAUGACGGAGCAACGCCGAGUGAGUGAUGAAGGUCUUCGGAUCGUAAAACUCUGUUAUUAGGGAAGAACAAAUGUGUAAGUAACUGUGCACGUCUUGACGGUAACUAAUCAGAAAGCCACGGCUAACUACGUG